Molecule: unclassified non-coding RNA, 305 nt
Filed under: Hevea brasiliensis (rubber tree)
Lineage: Eukaryota; Viridiplantae; Streptophyta; Magnoliopsida; Malpighiales; Euphorbiaceae
Source: RNAcentral
CUUCCAGUGCUGCUGUUACUAUUGUUGCUCGGGGCACCGGCUUCCCAAAACCGUGAACUGCUGAUUGGGAAAGACGCCAAUGAAGGGUCGUCGGAGGGAACAGUAACGGAGGGCUUGAAAGCCAUCGAUGUAGAAAGAAAUGAACUUGUUGUAGGUGGAAGGAUGGUGGGUAUUGAACUGGAAGAGAAUUCGGAGUUAACAUCCAAAGAUUUGCUGGUUUGUGUAAACCAGGGGGAGGGGAUUGAGUUGGUUGUGAGCCUGGCAUUAGACGCAUAAUUCAAUUGCUGAAGAGGGAAAUGCCCCAC